UACAGAGGGGGCAAGCGUUAUUCGGAAUUAUUGGGCGUAAAGGGCGCGUAGGCGGCUUUGCAAGUGACGGGUGAAAGCCCUCGGCUUAACCGAGGAACUGCCUGUCAGACUGUAAGGCUUGAGACCGGGAGAGGUGAGUGGAAUUCCCAGUGUAGCGGUGAAAUGCGUAGAUAUUGGGAGGAACACCAGUGGCGAAGGCGGCUCACUGGACGACUGUUGACGCUGAGGUACGAAAGCGUGGGGAGCAAACAGG
Molecule: ribosomal RNA, 253 nt
Filed under: uncultured bacterium
Lineage: Bacteria
Description: partial 16S ribosomal RNA
Rfam family: Bacterial small subunit ribosomal RNA
Source: RNAcentral